This 440-nucleotide ribosomal RNA is filed under the name uncultured bacterium. RNAcentral's name for it is "partial 16S ribosomal RNA". It matches the Rfam family "Bacterial small subunit ribosomal RNA", at positions 338 to 795 of the family's 1533-position model. The record is from RNAcentral.
CCUACGGGUGGCAGCAGUGGGGGAUAUUGCACAAUGGGGGAAACCCUGAUGCAGCGACGCCGCGUGGGUGAAGAAGCGCCUCGGCGCGUAAAGCCCUGUCAGCAGGGAAGAAAAUGACGGUACCUGAAGAAGAAGCCCCGGCUAACUACGUGCCAGCAGCCGCGGUAAUACGUAGGGGGCAAGCGUUAUCCGGAUUUACUGGGUGUAAAGGGGGCGCAGACGGCGAUGCAAGCCAGGAGUGAAAGCCCGGGUCCCAACCCCGGGACUGCUCUUGGAACUGCGUGGCUAGUGUGCAGGAGGGGCAGGCGGAAUUCCUGGUGUAGCGGUUACGAGCGUAGAAAUCAGGAGGAAAACCGGUGGCGAAGGAGGCCUGCUGGACUGCAACUGACGUUGAGGCCCGAAAGCGUGGGGAGCAAACAGGAUCAGAUACCCGGGUAGUC